RNAcentral lists this ribosomal RNA (850 nucleotides) under uncultured bacterium. RNAcentral describes it as "bacterial SSU rRNA". It matches the Rfam family "Bacterial small subunit ribosomal RNA", at positions 1 to 835 of the family's 1533-position model. The record is from RNAcentral.
CGGGUUACGAAUUCGCCCCUUAGAGUUUGAUAUGGCUCAGGACGAACGCUGGCGGCGUGCCUAACACAUGCAAGUCGAACGGAACUAUUUUGAAAGAUUUCUUCGGGAUGAUUGAUUUAUAGUUUAGUGGCGGACGGGUGAGUAACGCGUGAGUAACCUGCCUUCAAGAGGGGAAUAACAUUCUGAAAAGAAUGCUAAUACCGCAUAACAUAUCGGUACCGCAUGAUACUGAUAUCAAAGAUUUUAUCGCUUGAAGAUGGACUCGCGUCCGAUUAGUUAGUUGGUGAGGUAACGGCUCACCAAGACGACGAUCGGUAGCCGGACUGAGAGGUUGAACGGCCACAUUGGGACUGAGACACGGCCCAGACUCCUACGGGAGGCAGCAGUGGGGGAUAUUGCGCAAUGGGGGCAACCCUGACGCAGCAACGCCGCGUGAAGGAUGAAGGUUUUCGGAUUGUAAACUUCUUUUCUUAAGGACGAAGAAUGACGGUACUUAAGGAAUAAGCUCCGGCUAACUACGUGCCAGCAGCCGCGGUAAUACGUAGGGAGCAAGCGUUGUCCGGAUUUACUGGGUGUAAAGGGUGCGUAGGCGGCAAUGCAAGUCAGAUGUGAAAUCUAUGGGCUCAACCCAUAAACUGCAUUUGAAACUGCGUUGCUUGAGUGAAGUAGAGGCAGGCGGAAUUCCCCGUGUAGCGGUGAAAUGCGUAGAGAUGGGGAGGAACACCNGUGGCGAANGCGGCCUGCUGGGCUUUAACUGACGCUGANGCACGAAAGCGUGGGUAGCAAACAGGAUUAGAUACCCUGGUAGUCCACGCUGUAAACGAUGAUUACUANGGUGUGGGGGGCCUGU